GCACGAGCUGUAAUUGGAAAAUAAUAUCAUUUAGGAUUCAAUAAAAUCGUCGAAAGUAUUAGUAGAGUACAUUUGUUGACAGAAAGUAAGACAGAAAUAUUUUGGCAAUUGUUUGAAAUGCUCAAAGUUUUCGCCGACUAGUGGUAAAAUCGAAGGAUAUUUGCGUAGUUGAGAAAAGGUAACGUACCUUUUCAAACGGUUAUGCCCAUGCCAGUCGACAAAGACAUAAAAGGCAAACGGAACACCGAUGCUGGCAAAAUUGUCGGAAACACCCGGGAAAUGGCAGUCUUGAGUCUAGAGUCCAGUCGAAUUCGCCUAGAACAAUACAAUUUGCAGGUCAACGGGAGAAAGUCUUUCGCAAUUGUUGUUUGAAAUAAAUCAGCUUGGCUUCAUUAAGCGACAGGAAUAAGUGACAAGCCUGAGCAAGAAAAUGAACGCGUCUACGACAGAAAACAUAAAAAUGCGACAGGGUAUCAAAAUCGACGAUACGUGAUGAUCGGAUACGUGAUUCGGACGUCGCACCGGGAGUAGAUAAGGAAUUGGUACCGAAAUUUGAAAGCCCCUACGUUAUUAAAAA
Long non-coding RNA from Bombus terrestris (buff-tailed bumblebee), 577 nucleotides. RefSeq lists it as uncharacterized. The transcript is spliced from 2 exons. The record is from RefSeq and is a predicted model, not a curated record. Lineage: Eukaryota; Metazoa; Arthropoda; Insecta; Hymenoptera; Apidae.